This 253-nucleotide ribosomal RNA is filed under the name uncultured bacterium. RNAcentral's name for it is "partial 16S ribosomal RNA". It matches the Rfam family "Bacterial small subunit ribosomal RNA", at positions 524 to 776 of the family's 1533-position model. The record is from RNAcentral.
UACGUAGGGUCCGAGCGUUGUCCGGAAUUAUUGGGCGUAAAGGGCUCGUAGGCGGUUCGUCACGUCGGGAGUGAAAACUCGGGGCUUAACCCCGAGCCUGCUUCCGAUACGGGCAGACUAGAGGUAGGCAGGGGAGAGCGGAACUCCUGGUGUAGCGGUGGAAUGCGCAGAUAUCAGGAAGAACACCCGUGGCGAAGGCGGCUCUCUGGGACGGUAUUGACGCUGAGACGCGAAAGCGUGGGGAGCGAACAGG